UACGCAGGGGGCUAGCGUUGCUCGGAUUGACUGGGCGUAAAGGGCGCGUAGGCGGUUCGUACAGUCAGACGUGAAAUUCCUGGGCUCAACCUGGGGGCUGCGUUUGAUACGUGCGGACUUGAGUGCGGAAGAGGGUCGUGGAAUUCCCAGUGUAGAGGUGAAAUUCGUAGAUAUUGGGAAGAACACCGGUGGCGAAGGCGGCGACCUGGUCCGAUACUGACGCUGAGGCGCGAAAGCGUGGGGAGCAAACAGG
RNAcentral lists this ribosomal RNA (253 nucleotides) under uncultured bacterium. RNAcentral's name for it is "partial 16S ribosomal RNA". It matches the Rfam family "Bacterial small subunit ribosomal RNA", at positions 524 to 776 of the family's 1533-position model. The record is from RNAcentral.